GUUACAGGAAGAUGUGAGUACUUGGAGACACCCAUGAGAGGCAGCUCAACCCUGGAAGGGGACCUAGUGACAUGACCAUCCCAGGACCAUCUAGGGGACCCUGUGCUGUCUCUGCUGAGGAUGAUGUGUGCGGAGCAGCUUACGGGUCUUCCCGGGGGGAAUUCUCGGGAAACCCACAUAGCAGCCUUCAGCGCUGCUCCUCUGAUACUGACCCUGAAGCAGAGGGAGAGAAGGUGUCCCUAAGAUGACAGGAUGAAGAAGCUAAUUGCUGCUUAGCUAAGGACCGGAAGACCUGAUGGCCAGAGUGUUCCCUCUGUAAGAUCCAUUCUGAGACUCCGCAAGGGAACUCAUUGGUGAAUGGACUCCAGGCUUCCGAUGGAGGAGCCUUCAAGGUUUGCUCCAGUCUCAAAAUGCAGGGAUUGUUGAAGACUUCGGGUGAGAAAAGGGCCUGAAGGUGUACUUCUCGUGGCUCUAGAAGAACCCGGGAGCAUCCACAGAUUGACCAGUUGCCUCUUUUAGAGCCCAUCCUUCCCUGGAGAGUCCAGAAAGCCUCUCUGUAAACAGAUGAAGUAAAGAUGCUGCCGAGACCUGAAAUUGUGGGUAGGAUGUCUUCCCCAAACCCCCACCUGGCAGUCAUGGCAAUGUUGUCUACGAGUUCCUGUUGCACUUGAGAGAGCUGUGAUUAACAAGACAUCAGAACUACUGAAGUGACACCUUUGCUCUCCUGGGACAAUGGCCACUGCUCAGCAGUGACUAAGUUAACAUCACUGAGGAGACAUCAUCGGGUGUUUCCCAAGAGUCCGCACAUGAAGCUGGGGUCCAGAGGCAGCCAAGGUUACACCUUAUGCUGGCAGCUGAACUUGGUGGUGUAGGAGUCACCCAGGGGGUACUGACUUUGAAGGCCUGAAGAGGUCACAGAGAGCAGCUGAGGCUUUGCACUGUGGAAUGCCAGGAGUGAAGGAAUCAUGAAAAGUUGAGUCUUGGCAUCAUGAGGAGCGCCCAGGAGAGGCUGUUGGUGAAAGUGCGGCCCAGUUGCAGCAGAGACCCCAGGAUUUUGGAGACGCCAGCAGCAGCGGUUGAGCAGAGCCAGCUGGAACCUAAAGACAAGCUGUGUGCUGCAGAGGGCAGAGACAGAGAAGUGACCCAAGUCCUUUGGAGGAGCCCAGAAGAUCGUGAGUGGAUCCCAGCCACUGGACUGUUGGAAUUUGGUUUGAUUUUAUUCGCUUGUGAUUGUGCCCAGAGUUUUCCCUCUUGAAGUAAGAAAACAUUUUACCAGAGCCCAUAGUUGCGAGACUUUGGAUUUUAAAAAAGAUUUGGCUAUUUUAAAGGGUCUGAAUUUUUAAUAUGUAAUGUGUUUGAAUUUGUAAAGACCAUGGGACUUUUAAAGUUAUCUACAUUUUUUAAUGUGAGAUCUUGGGGAUGCAUAAGAAAGGAAGGGUUGUGGUUUAAUAGUGAUACAUUUGAGUGUCAAGUUGACACAAGUUAGAGUCACCAGAGAGGAAGGAGCCUCAGUUGAGGAAAUGUUUCCAUGAGAUCCAUCUAUAGAGCAUUUUCUCAGUUUUCAGUGGGGAAGGCCCAGGCCAUUGUGAGUGGUGCCAUCCCUGGGUUGGUAGUCCUGGCUGCUAUAAGAAAAUAGUCUGAGCAGGGCGGUGGUAGCGCACGCCUUUAAUCUCAGCAUUUGAGAGUCAGAGGCAAGAGAAUCUCUGUGAGUUUGAGGCCAGCCUGGUCUGCAGAGCAAAUGCCAGGACAGGCUCCAAAGCUACACAGAGAAAAAAAAAAAAAAACCUGUUUUGAAAGAUGAAAAAAAAAAAAAGUAGGCUGAGCAAGCCAUAGGAAGCAAGCCAGUAAGCAGCACCCUCCAUGGCCUCUGCAUCAGCUCCUGCCUCCAGGCUCCUGUCCUGCUGGAGUUCUUGCCUUGACUUCCUUUGCUAGUGAAUAGCAAUGUAGAGGUACAAGCUUUCCUACCCAACUAGCUUUUUGGUCACGAGGUUUCUUUGUAGCAAUAGAAACCAUAACUGUAGCAGUGUGUCUCACCCUCCUCUUAGAUGAAAGAGAAGAUGCUGAGCCCCAGAAAGUGACUUUGAAGAUUCAGAAGUCACUUUGGAGACUAGGAAAACACUGAUGAUGGAGAAGCUCAUAAAAAUCAGAAUAAGAAGUCUUCCAGGUGAAUGGAAGUUUGAGCCCUUAAACACUCCUUUCAGGAUGUCCCAAACAAUCUCACCCACACUAAGAUGAAGUGUGUAAGGUUUGCUGCAUGACUGAUUUCCCAUUUCUUUGAGAAUUUUGUAUAUGAGUGCUGUCUUUACAUCAUUCCCUCCGCUCCUCAAAUUCAUGCCCUCUUUUUCUUUAUUGUUACACACACACAUUUACGAUUGCCCUUAUGUACAUGUGUCUAGAGCCAUGGUUACAGAUGCACGCUGCCAUGCCCCCCCACUGUUACAUGAACUCUGUAGAUUCAGACCUGGGUCUCCGUACUUGCACAGUGGGCGCUUGACCAACUACAGCUCACACCUGCCACCUUCAUGGCCUCUCCACACACCACAGCCAAGCCUUUAAACAUCCUCCACGUCACUGGGACAAUCUCACCCAUUUCCCCUCCAAACCACUAGAUGCCACUCUGUACCCACCCAUGACAUUGCUGUUCCUGGUUUCUGGAAGGCUGGUCUGGAGAAGAUGCACAGGUUCUGCUCAGUCGCCUUUCCUAGAGGAAGACCUGGAGAAGGAGCCCGUUCUCUGCAGCUGUCGCAUCAGGACGGCACAGUCGCUCCACAGCCAGCACUCACGCUCAGGAUGGGCCAGGCUUUCUUCAAGGAUUAGCUCCUAUACCUCCCGCAAGCUCCAGUGAUCAACAUCCAACGCGCAAAACACUUAAGACUUGGUGGGUAAAGACGCCUGCCAUGCAAGUGUGAGGCCCUGGGUUCAAACCCACAGAACCCUGGUAGAAUCCAACUGCUGUAGUGUGUGUAAUCCUAGCACUCAGACUCCUUGUAAGUCUGAGGCAGCUAGCCUAGGAUACAAAGAGGCAAAAUGAGAGGCAUAGGGAUGUGGCUGUUCAUGGAGCUGCUCUUACAUGCUGGAAGCCAGGCAAAGCUUGGAGAAGAGAGAUUCUAAAGUACAUAAGGGGGACUCGCUCUAUUGGCCAUUGGCCAUGAGUCCACUCACCUGGGGAAGACCAAUGGUCAUCCUCACUUGCCCACACUCCAGUCCAUGUUAGCAUGUCUAUUGCCAGCCUUGCUGGCUCAUGGCUAGGCAGCCACACUGGUGGGACUUCUUUGGUUUUCAGCCAGUUGUGCUGGCACACACCUGUUGUCCCAACACUGGAGAGUCUGAGCGGGUGGAUCUGAAGUCUGAGGCCAGCCUGGCAGGGUCCUGUGGGUGAGGGUAAGUGGGGAAGAGUGGGUAGCUAGCUGGUCUUCAGAGCUACGGCUGUUUUGUCAACUACUU
Molecule: long non-coding RNA, 3444 nt
Organism: Alexandromys fortis (reed vole)
Lineage: Eukaryota; Metazoa; Chordata; Mammalia; Rodentia; Cricetidae
Exons: 3
Source: RefSeq, a predicted model, not a curated record